Long non-coding RNA from Pygocentrus nattereri (red-bellied piranha), 666 nucleotides. The record is from Ensembl. Lineage: Eukaryota; Metazoa; Chordata; Actinopteri; Characiformes; Serrasalmidae.
CCGCAACGUAACAAAAUGUUUGACUAGCAGGCUUCUUGUUUGAAAGCCCAUAUCAGCAAGUUUUUCACAGUGUUUGAGGCAGAAAAGGAGGGAAAUAAAUGCUUGCCUAACAUCAGUAGGAGCGUGGUCUCAUCUGUACCAGACGAAAACCUUUAGGACAGUUACUGUAAAAAAAGGAGCCAUUUGCAGGAGUGAACAAGGUUCUCCAAGACUCCAUUGUUCCUUUCCGUGCAGAAGACUUGCAAAGUAUCCAAGUAUUCGUCUCACACAACAUAAACUUCAAUCACCAAGUCCACCGCAAGAGGAGUUUGAGCACAAGAAGAAAAUGGUGCAGCAAGUUCCAAGAACAGCCGCUAGGAUGCAGUUUUACGACGUUUCAGUUUGCAAUAGUUUAUAAUACCUUUGGCAUACCAGGUCAAACUGUAUUUCUCAAGUUGGGAUUUUUGCCCCUUGUCUUAAUUCAUGUUAUUUAAUGCUUAAUCUGUUUGACUUUCAUUGUUUAACAUUUUAGUAAUGCUCCAGGGCACUUUAGCAAAACUAAAACUGAAGACCUAGGAAGACAAAAAAAUCAAAGAACGCAUAGCUGAAAUUAAUGCAGAUCUUAAAAUACACAGGGUAGGACUGCAGGAACCAAUAUCUGAAGUUGAACAAGAGGUGAGGCGAGCA